RNAcentral lists this ribosomal RNA (641 nucleotides) under uncultured Streptococcus sp. Its description in RNAcentral is "bacterial SSU rRNA". It matches the Rfam family "Bacterial small subunit ribosomal RNA", at positions 129 to 758 of the family's 1533-position model. The record is from RNAcentral. Lineage: Bacteria; Bacillati; Bacillota; Bacilli; Lactobacillales; Streptococcaceae.
CCUGGUAGCGGGGGAUAACUAUUGGAAACGAUAGCUAAUACCGCAUAAAAUUGCUUAUCGCAUGAUAAUUAAUUGAAAGAUGCAAUUGCAUCACUACCAGAUGGACCUGCGUUGUAUUAGCUAGUUGGUGAGGUAACGGCUCACCAAGGCGACGAUACAUAGCCGACCUGAGAGGGUGAUCGGCCACACUGGGACUGAGACACGGCCCAGACUCCUACGGGAGGCAGCAGUAGGGAAUCUUCGGCAAUGGGGGGAACCCUGACCGAGCAACGCCGCGUGAGUGAAGAAGGUUUUCGGAUCGUAAAGCUCUGUUGUAAGAGAAGAACGGGUGUGAGAGUGGAAAGUUCACACUGUGACGGUAUCUUACCAGAAAGGGACGGCUAACUACGUGCCAGCAGCCGCGGUAAUACGUAGGUCCCGAGCGUUGUCCGGAUUUAUUGGGCGUAAAGCGAGCGCAGGCGGUUAGAUAAGUCUGAAGUUAAAGGCUGUGGCUUAACCAUAGUAUGCUUUGGAAACUGUUUAACUUGAGUGCAGAAGGGGAGAGUGGAAUUCCAUGUGUAGCGGUGAAAUGCGUAGAUAUAUGGAGGAACACCGGUGGCGAAAGCGGCUCUCUGGUCUGUAACUGACGCUGAGGCUCGAAA